This 478-nucleotide ribosomal RNA is filed under the name uncultured bacterium. RNAcentral's name for it is "partial 16S ribosomal RNA". It matches the Rfam family "Bacterial small subunit ribosomal RNA", at positions 28 to 507 of the family's 1533-position model. The record is from RNAcentral.
GAUGAACGCUAGCGGCAGGCCUAACACAUGCAAGUCGAGGGAGAAGCCCUUUCGGGGGCUGAAACCGGCGCACGGGUGCGUAACGCGUAUGCAACCUACCUUUCACAGGGGGAUAGCCCGAAGAAAUUUGGAUUAAUACCCCAUAAUAUUAUUGGAUGGCAUCAUUUGGUAAUUAAAACUGCGGUGGUGAAAGAUGGGCAUGCGUCCUAUUAGCUAGUUGGAGUGGUAACGGCACCCCAAGGCUACGAUAGGUAGGGGUCCUGAGAGGGAGAUCCCCCACACUGGUACUGAGACAGGGACCAGACUCCUACGGGAGGCAGCAGUGAGGAAUAUUGGUCAAUGGUCGGAAGACUGAACCAGCCAUGCCGCGUGCAGGAAGAAUGCCUUAUGGGUGGUAAACUGCUUUUAUAUGGGAAGAAUAAGGCGUACGUGUACGUUGAUGACGGUACCAUAUGAAUAAGCAUCGGCUAACUCCGUG